GAAGGGUGUAUGAUCGGAACCCACAUGAUGACUGAGUCAACAGUUGCUAAUGGUGCACUAAAUGCUCGUACACUUUGCUUGGACCCUAUUACUCAAGGCCCUUCUCUAGGUCUUUGCCCUCCUUUUUGGAAAAACAAUCAAUACCAAGCUCAACAGCACCAACAAACUGGCUUCAUAGUUGGUCAUGAAGCUCAAAACUCAGGGAUACUAGAACUGUAUCAAAGACUCAGAGCAUCAACUAAUUACUAUACCGAUAACUCACCUGUAGUUCUAAGCAAUGUGGCUUCUUCCUCAGCUGCAUCUUCAACCAUUUUGGAGUCUUCUCCUGUUGCUGGAGGUGAAUU
RNAcentral lists this unclassified non-coding RNA (344 nucleotides) under Hevea brasiliensis (rubber tree). The record is from RNAcentral. Lineage: Eukaryota; Viridiplantae; Streptophyta; Magnoliopsida; Malpighiales; Euphorbiaceae.